RNAcentral lists this ribosomal RNA (439 nucleotides) under uncultured bacterium. Its description in RNAcentral is "partial 16S ribosomal RNA". It matches the Rfam family "Bacterial small subunit ribosomal RNA", at positions 339 to 795 of the family's 1533-position model. The record is from RNAcentral.
CUACGGGUUGCAGCAGUGAGGAAUAUUGCACAAUGGGGGAAACCCUGAUGCAGCAACGCCGCGUGGAGGAUGACGCAUUUCGGUGUGUAAACUCCUUUUAUGAGUCAAGAAAAUGACGGUAGCAUAUGAAUAAGCACCGGCUAACUCCGUGCCAGCAGCCGCGGUAAUACGGAGGGUGCAAGCGUUACUCGGAAUCACUGGGCGUAAAGGACGCGUAGGCGGGUUGGAAAGUCAGGUGUGAAAUCCUACAGCUUAACUGUAGAACUGCACUUGAAACUUCUAAUCUAGAGUAUGGGAGGGGGAGAUGGAAUUAGUGGUGUAGGGGUAAAAUCCGUAGAUAUCACUAGGAAUACCUAAAGCGAAGGCGAUCUCCUGGAACAUUACUGACGCUAAGGCGUGAAAGCGUGGGGAGCAAACAGGAUUAGAUACCCCCGUAGUC